Molecule: ribosomal RNA, 487 nt
Filed under: Ascodipteron phyllorhinae
Lineage: Eukaryota; Metazoa; Arthropoda; Insecta; Diptera; Streblidae
Description: partial 16S ribosomal RNA
Source: RNAcentral
UUUAACCUCUACACCUAAAUCUAUAUCUUAAUCCAACAUCGAGGUCGCAAUCAAUUUUAUCAAUUUGAACUCUCCAAAAUAAUUACGCUGUUAUCCCUAAAGUAUCUUAAUCUAAUGUCAUUAUUAAUGGAUCAUUAAUUCAUAAAUCACUGUUUAAUAAAAUAUAAAAGUUAAUUAAAUUUUACUAUCACCCCAAUAAAAUAAAUAAUUAAUUAAUAUUAAAUAAUUCCUAAUAAUAAUAAUUAAUUUAUUAUAAAGAUUUAUAGGGUCUUCUCGUCUUUUAAAUUAAUUUUAGCUUUUUUACUAAAAAAUAAAUUUUUAUUAUAAAUUAAUAUGAAACAGUUAAUAUUUCGUCCAACCAUUCAUUCUAGCCUUCAAUUAAAAGACAAUUUAUUAUGCUACCUUUGUACAGUCAAUAUACUGCAGCCUUUAAAUUAUUCAAUGGGCAGGUUAAACUUUUUAAAAAUACUCAAAAAGAGAUGUUUUU